Aegilops tauschii subsp. strangulata is the source of this 1173-nucleotide non-coding RNA. The record is from RefSeq and is a predicted model, not a curated record. NCBI's taxonomy places the organism in Eukaryota, Viridiplantae, Streptophyta, Magnoliopsida, Poales, Poaceae.
CUUCGUUGCAUUUUUGUUCCUCUCACGGGACAUCAUACCAGAGUUGAAACCGAACUGAAGGGGGACGCCAUGGAGCAAGUCGAGUUCGUGGAGCAAGUCAUGGACGAUGCCAACGAAGGUAUACUCUCUCCCUCUCCUUACCGUGCUACUGCUCGUUGUGUCCAUGGCCAUUGAGCUGUGCUAGGUUCUGUGCUGCUGUCGACGCACAUUUAUAAGAUUUGGGGCUGUAGGUUUCAGUGGAUUUAUUUAGAAAUAAAUAGAUCUGUUGGUUCACAGAAAACAGUUUUACUGUAGAUGUAAAGAAUUAGCAAUGGAUCUCUAGGCUGGUGAUGACCAUGUAAAUUCAUUUCAGUGGAUUUGGGGCUGUAGGUUUGUUUCAAAGCGUGGUGAGCACUUAUAGGUUUCCCUAUUUCCUGUUGGAUGACUGAAACCAACUAGAAAUAGAUAUUUUGGUUCAGUUUCAGAUGAGAAACCGUUUUGGUCCAGUUUGCUAACAAACUGGAGAAGAAAAGAGAAGUGGUACUGUCAAUCACAUUGCCCUAUGCACAUCAGCACUUAGGCUAAUGUCCAUAUAAUUUUAUUUAGCCAUGUUUUCUGCAGGUUGUGUCGUAUAUUGUGGCGUCUGGAUUAGUCAUCAAGGGCAACUAACACUCAUGCUGGUAUCCUCUCAUAAUCACAUACGAAUUUGUGUUCAAAUUGUAGUGCUAUCUUGUUUAUUUGUUUCUUCUUAUUUGCUAUUAGACUGUUGUCCAGACCAAAAAAAUGUGCUGAUGAGCAGUAAGUGUGCGCAAAGCGGUUCUUACUUCUUAAUGCACUGUGUGUUAAUGGUUCAUUUUGUUAUUUUCUUUGUAGGUUCAAAAGAUACAUGGAUGAUUAUAUGGGUGCAUGACAAGUACACUGCAAUGUGAUGAUGAUGAUGAUCUUCCAGUUCAUGAUUAUGAUGAUGGAUGCUUUCAGUUUUAGUUAAGUUGUAGGGAUGUUGUUCCUAUUCGAUGAUGUUCCUCUGUUAUGUUUUAGUUAAGUAUGAGGGAUGUUGAUGAAUGCUUUUAGUUAAGUUUCUUUCUCGAGAAAAUAUUUAAAUAUGCAUCACAUUUGGAUGCUCUUCCUCCUGUAAUAUCCACUACUGUAAUCCAACAAUUUUAUCCAAUAUAUGAUUUCUUCCUCUUGUGAGUA